Molecule: ribosomal RNA, 433 nt
Filed under: uncultured bacterium
Lineage: Bacteria
Description: partial 16S ribosomal RNA
Rfam family: Bacterial small subunit ribosomal RNA
Source: RNAcentral
AACGAACGCUGGCGGCAGGCUUAACACAUGCAAGUCGAACGCACCUUUCGGGGUGAGUGGCAGACGGGUGAGUAACGCGUGGGAAUCUACCCUUCUCUACGGGAUAGCUCCGGGAAACUGGAAUUAAUACCGUAUACGUCCUGAGGGAGAAAGAGUUCUCGGGGAAGGAUGAGCCCGCGUUGGAUUAGCUAGUUGGUGGGGUAAAGGCCUACCAAGGCGACGAUCCAUAGCUGGUCUAAGAGGAUGAUCAGCCACAUUGGGACUGAGACACGGCCCACACUCCGACGGGAGGCAGCAGUGGGGAAUAUUGGACAAUGGGCGCAAGCCUGACCCAGCCAUGCCGCGUGAGUGAUGAAGGCCCUAGGGUUGUAAAGCUCUUUCAGAGGGGACGAUAAUGACGGUACCCACAGAAGAAGCCCCGGCUAACUUCGUG